GGGUUGUGAGGUUAAGCGACUAAGCGUACACGGUGGAUGCCCUGGCAGUCAGAGGCGAUGAAGGGCGUGCUAAUCUGCGAUAAGCGCCGGUAAGGUGAUAUGAACCGUUAUAACCGGCGAUACCCGAAUGGGGAAACCCAGUGUGAUUCGUCACACUAUCAUUAACUGAAUCCAUAGGUUAAUGAGGCGAACCGGGGGAACUGAAACAUCUAAGUACCCCGAGGAAAAGAAAUCAACCGAGAUUCCCCCAGUAGCGGCGAGCGAACGGGGAGGAGCCCAGAGCCUGAAUCAGCAUGUGUGUUAGUGGAAGCGUCUGGAAAGGCGCGCGAUACAGGGUGACAGCCCCGUACACAAAAGCGCAUGUGCUGUGAGCUCGAUGAGUAGGGCGGGACACGUGGUAUCCUGUCUGAAUAUGGGGGGACCAUCCUCCAAGGCUAAAUACUCCUGACUGACCGAUAGUGAACCAGUACCGUGAGGGAAAGGCGAAAAGAACCCCGGCGAGGGGAGUGAAAAAGAACCUGAAACCGUGUACGUACAAGCAGUGGGAGCNNNNNNNNNNNNNNNNNNNNNNNNNNNNNNNNNNNNNNNNNNNNGGGCGUUAAGUUGCAGGGUAUAGACCCGAAACCCGGUGAUCUAGCCAUGGGCAGGUUGAAGGUUGGGUAACACUAACUGGAGGACCGAACCGACUAAUGUUGAAAAAUUAGCGGAUGACCUGUGGCUGGGGGUGAAAGGCCAAUCAAACCGGGAGAUAGCUGGUUCUCCCCGAAAGCUAUUUAGGUAGCGCCUCGUGAAUUCAUCUCCGGGGGUAGAGCACUGUUUCGGCUAGGGGGCCAUCCCGGCUUACCAACCCGAUGCAAACUGCGAAUACCGGAGAAUGUUAUCACGGGAGACACACGGCGGGUGCUAACGUCCGUCGUGAAGAGGGAAACAACCCAGACCGCCAGCUAAGGUCCCAAAGUCAUGGUUAAGUGGGAAACGAUGUGGGAAGGCCCAGACAGCCAGGAUGUUGGCUUAGAAGCAGCCAUCAUUUAAAGAAAGCGUAAUAGCUCACUGGUCGAGUCGGCCUGCGCGGAAGAUGUAACGGGGCUAAACCAUGCACCGAAGCUGCGGCAGCGACACUGUGUGUUGUUGGGUAGGGGAGCGUUCUGUAAGCCUGUGAAGGUGUGUCGUGAGGCAUGCUGGAGGUAUCAGAAGUGCGAAUGCUGACAUAAGUAACGAUAAAGCGGGUGAAAAGCCCGCUCGCCGGAAGACCAAGGGUUCCUGUCCAACGUUAAUCGGGGCAGGGUGAGUCGACCCCUAAGGCGAGGCCGAAAGGCGUAGUCGAUGGGAAACGGGUUAAUAUUCCCGUACUUGGUGUUACUGCGAAGGGGGGACGGAGAAGGCUAUGUUGGCCGGGCGACGGUUGUCCCGGUUUAAGCGUGUAGGUGUGUGUUCCAGGUAAAUCCGGUUCACUUUAACACUGAGGCGUGACGACGAGGCACUACGGUGCUGAAGCAACAAAUGCCCUGCUUCCAGGAAAAGCCUCUAAGCAUCAGGUAACAUCAAAUCGUACCCCAAACCGACACAGGUGGUCAGGUAGAGAAUACCAAGGCGCUUGAGAGAACUCGGGUGAAGGAACUAGGCAAAAUGGUGCCGUAACUUCGGGAGAAGGCACGCUGACACGUAGGUGAAGUGAUUUACUCAUGGAGCUGAAGUCAGUCGAAGAUACCAGCUGGCUGCAACUGUUUAUUAAAAACACAGCACUGUGCAAACACGAAAGUGGACGUAUACGGUGUGACGCCUGCCCGGUGCCGGAAGGUUAAUUGAUGGGGUCAGCGCAAGCGAAGCUCCUGAUCGAAGCCCCGGUAAACGGCGGCCGUAACUAUAACGGUCCUAAGGUAGCGAAAUUCCUUGUCGGGUAAGUUCCGACCUGCACGAAUGGCGUAAUGAUGGCCAGGCUGUCUCCACCCGAGACUCAGUGAAAUUGAACUCGCUGUGAAGAUGCAGUGUACCCGCGGCAAGACGGAAAGACCCCGUGAACCUUUACUAUAGCUUGACACUGAACAUUGAGCCUUGAUGUGUAGGAUAGGUGGGAGGCUUUGAAGUGUGGACGCCAGUCUGCAUGGAGCCGACCUUGAAAUACCACCCUUUAAUGUUUGAUGUUCUAACGUGGACCCGUUACCCGGGUUGCGGACAGUGUCUGGUGGGUAGUUUGACUGGGGCGGUCUCCUCCUAAAGAGUAACGGAGGAGCACGAAGGUUGGCUAAUCCUGGUCGGACAUCAGGAGGUUAGUGCAAUGGCAUAAGCCAGCUUGACUGCGAGCGUGACGGCGCGAGCAGGUGCGAAAGCAGGUCAUAGUGAUCCGGUGGUUCUGAAUGGAAGGGCCAUCGCUCAACGGAUAAAAGGUACUCCGGGGAUAACAGGCUGAUACCGCCCAAGAGUUCAUAUCGACGGCGGUGUUUGGCACCUCGAUGUCGGCUCAUCACAUCCUGGGGCUGAAGUAGGUCCCAAGGGUAUGGCUGUUCGCCAUUUAAAGUGGUACGCGAGCUGGGUUUAGAACGUCGUGAGACAGUUCGGUCCCUAUCUGCCGUGGGCGCUGGAGAACUGAGGGGGGCUGCUCCUAGUACGAGAGGACCGGAGUGGACGCAUCACUGGUGUUCGGGUUGUCAUGCCAAUGGCACUGCCCGGUAGCUAAAUGCGGAAGAGAUAAGUGCUGAAAGCAUCUAAGCACGAAACUUGCCCCGAGAUGAGUUCUCCCUGAGACUUAAAGUCUCCUGAAGGAACGUUGAAGACGACGACGUUGAUAGGCCGGGUGUGUAAGCGCAGCGAUGCGUUGAGCUAACCGGUACUAAUGAACCGUGAGGCUUAACCUUACAACGCCGAAG
Molecule: ribosomal RNA, 2864 nt
Filed under: Salmonella enterica subsp. enterica serovar Enteritidis
Lineage: Bacteria; Pseudomonadati; Pseudomonadota; Gammaproteobacteria; Enterobacterales; Enterobacteriaceae
Description: bacterial LSU rRNA
Rfam family: Bacterial large subunit ribosomal RNA
Source: RNAcentral